This 584-nucleotide ribosomal RNA is filed under the name uncultured bacterium. Its description in RNAcentral is "partial 16S ribosomal RNA". It matches the Rfam family "Bacterial small subunit ribosomal RNA", at positions 355 to 1375 of the family's 1533-position model. The record is from RNAcentral.
UGGGGAAUUUUGGACAAUGGGCGAAAGCCUGAUCCAGCAAUGCCGCGUGUGUGAAGAAGGCCUUCGGGUUGUAAAGCACUUUUGUCCGGAAAGAAAUCCUUGGCUCUAAUACAGUCGGGGGAUGACGGUACCGGAAGAAUAAGCACCGGCUAACUACGUGCCAGCAGCCGCGGUAAUACGUAGGGUGCAAGCGUUAAUCGGAAUUACUGGGCGUAAAGCGUGCGCAGGCGGUUUGCUAAGACCGAUGUGAAAUCCCCGGGCUCAACCUGGGAACUGCAUUGGUGACUGGCAGGCUAGAGUAUGGCAGAGGGGGGUAGAAUUCCACGUGUAGCAGUGAAAUGCGUAGAGAUGUGGAGGAAUACCGAUGGCGAAGGCAGCCCCCUGGGCCAAUACUGACGCUCAUGCACGAAAGCUGGGGAGCAAACAGGAUUAGAUACCCUGGUAGUCCACGCCCUAAACGAUGUCAACUAGUUGUUGGGGAUUCAUUUCCUUAGUAACGUAGCUAACGCGUGAAGUUGACCGCCUGGGGAGUACGGUCGCAAGAUUAAAACUCAAAUGAAUUGACGGGGUCAUAGCUGUUUCCU